GAUGAGUAGGGCGGGACACGUGGUAUCCUGUCUGAAUAUGGGGGGACCAUCCUCCAAGGCUAAAUACUCCUGACUGACCGAUAGUGAACCAGUACCGUGAGGGAAAGGCGAAAAGAACCCCGGCGAGGGGAGUGAAAAAGAACCUGAAACCGUGUACGUACAAGCAGUGGGAGCCUCUUAAUGGGGUGACUGCGUACCUUUUGUAUAAUGGGUCAGCGACUUAUAUUCUGUAGCAAGGUUAACCGAAUAGGGGAGCCGAAGGGAAACCGAGUCUUAACUGGGCGUUAAGUUGCAGGGUAUAGACCCGAAACCCGGUGAUCUAGCCAUGGGCAGGUUGAAGGUUGGGUAACACUAACUGGAGGACCGAACCGACUAAUGUUGAAAAAUUAGCGGAUGACUUGUGGCUGGGGGUGAAAGGCCAAUCAAACCGGGAGAUAGCUGGUUCUCCCCGAAAGCUAUUUAGGUAGCGCCUCGUGAAUUCAUCUCCGGGGGUAGAGCACUGUUUCGGCAAGGGGGUCAUCCCGACUUACCAACCCGAUGCAAACUGCGAAUACCGGAGAAUGUUAUCACGGGAGACACACGGCGGGUGCUAACGUCCGUCGUGAAGAGGGAAACAACCCAGACCGCCAGCUAAGGUCCCAAAGUCAUGGUUAAGUGGGAAACGAUGUGGGAAGGCCCAGACAGCCAGGAUGUUGGCUUAGAAGCAGCCAUCAUUUAAAGAAAGCGUAAUAGCUCACUGGUCGAGUCGGCCUGCGCGGAAGAUGUAACGGGGCUAAACCAUG
RNAcentral lists this ribosomal RNA (782 nucleotides) under Escherichia coli. Its description in RNAcentral is "partial 23S ribosomal RNA". It matches the Rfam family "Bacterial large subunit ribosomal RNA", at positions 407 to 1191 of the family's 2925-position model. Lineage: Bacteria; Pseudomonadati; Pseudomonadota; Gammaproteobacteria; Enterobacterales; Enterobacteriaceae. The record is from RNAcentral.